Molecule: transfer RNA, 69 nt
Filed under: Calliotropis micraulax
Lineage: Eukaryota; Metazoa; Mollusca; Gastropoda; Seguenziida; Calliotropidae
Description: tRNA-Ser
Source: RNAcentral
AUUGACUUCUUGCCUGGGGUAGCUUUGUUUUGAAAGCAGGGUUGAAGUGUUCGAUUCACUUAGUUGUUU